CACAUGCAAGUCGAGGGGUAACGAUGUCUUCGGACAGGCGACGACCGGCGCACGGGUGAGUAUCGCGUUUGUAACCUACCUUUAACUGGAGAAUAGCCCGAAGAAAUUCGGAUUAAUACUCCAUAAUACUAUGAACUGGCAUCUUUUUAUAGUUAAAGCUCCGGCGGUUAAAGAUGGGCAUGCGUAACAUUAGUUUGUUGGUGAGGUAACGGCUCACCAAGACUACGAUGUUUAGGGGGUCUGAGAGGAUGGUCCCCCACACUGGUACUGAGACACGGACCAGACUCCUACGGGAGGCAGCAGUGAGGAAUAUUGGUCAAUGGGCGCAAGCCUGAACCAGCCAUGCCGCGUGAAGGAUGACAGCGCUAUGCGUUGUAAACUUCUUUUGUACAGGAAGAAACACUUCUACGUGUAGAAGCUUGACGGUACUGUACGAAUAAGCAUCGGCUAACUCCGUGCCAGCAGCCGCGGUAAAACGUAGGGGACGAGCGUUAUCCGGAUUUACUGGGCGUAAAGUGCGUUGAGGCGGUUCCGUAAGUUGGACGUGAAAGCCCUGGGCUCAACCC
Molecule: ribosomal RNA, 566 nt
Filed under: uncultured Bacteroidota bacterium
Lineage: Bacteria; Pseudomonadati; Bacteroidota
Description: bacterial SSU rRNA
Rfam family: Bacterial small subunit ribosomal RNA
Source: RNAcentral